AGUUAAGAGGAAAAGAGUUUUUGAUACUUUAAAAGUUCUAGGCACAGUCCUUCAGCAGCUGACUGAGGAAAUUCCUGAUGAGCUGAGACGUGUGAUGGAAACUGAUGCAGCUAUGACGGACGACUUAAUUGCUUAUAAUAUUAUUCCACUUGAUGCUCCUAGCCCAACAAAUCGUAUUGGGUUUUUCCCCGAGGUUCAAGCAGCAAUCUCAGUGUUAAAGUAUAGGGGACUGCCAAAAUUGCCCGAGGAUUUUCCCAUCCCUGCUACAAGAAAAGCUGAUGUUCUUGAUUUUUUGCACUA
This is a long non-coding RNA of Humulus lupulus (European hop), 300 nucleotides long. RefSeq lists it as uncharacterized. The record is from RefSeq and is a predicted model, not a curated record. The transcript has 3 exons. NCBI's taxonomy places the organism in Eukaryota, Viridiplantae, Streptophyta, Magnoliopsida, Rosales, Cannabaceae.